Homo sapiens (human) is the source of this 441-nucleotide long non-coding RNA. RefSeq annotates it as long independently transcribed non-coding RNA 2474. The record is from RefSeq and is marked validated. The transcript is spliced from 3 exons. NCBI's taxonomy places the organism in Eukaryota, Metazoa, Chordata, Mammalia, Primates, Hominidae.
CCUCCUGCUCUUUGCUCCGUGAGAAAGAUCCACCUACGACCUCAGGUCCUCAGACCGACUAGCCCAAGAAACAUCUCACCAAUUUCAAAUCUGACCUUUGCAAGAGGGUCCGAGACAUUUGCAUCAUCAUUCAGUGAGACCUGUAAACACAGCAUCUGCCUUUGACCACAUCCAUCUGGAAGAACCUGAGAGAUAAUCCAUUUUAUGAAAUUUUCCCUACCCUGAAAUGGGAGAAUGAAUCUAAUUUGAAGCACUGAGAAGGAUAAGGCAUCCAUUUGAAAAGGACUCCUAUAUUGCAACAUGAAUUCUGCUAAAAUUGAAGCAAGAACAAACAUCAAAUUUAUGAUGAAGUUUGGGUAGAAGAACGAUGAAAUUAGUGACGCUUUAUAAAAAGUUUAUUGGGACAAUACCCCAAAUGAAUCAGCAGUUUAAAAAUGGAUA